UUUAUAAAGAGUUUGAUCCUGGCUCAGGACGAACGCUGGCGGCGCGCCUAACACAUGCAAGUCGAACGGAGCUUAGAGAGCUUGCUUUUUAAGCUUAGUGGCGAACGGGUGAGUAACGCGUGAGUAACCUGCCCUAGAGUGGGGGACAACAGUUGGAAACGACUGCUAAUACCGCAUAAGCCCACGGUGCCGCAUGACACUGAGGGAAAAGGAUUUAUUCGCUUUAGGAUGGACUCGCGUCCAAUUAGCUAGUUGGUGAGGUAACGGCCCACCAAGGCGACGAUUGGUAGCCGGACUGAGAGGUUGAACGGCCACAUUGGGACUGAGACACGGCCCAGACUCCUACGGGAGGCAGCAGUGGGGGAUAUUGCACAAUGGGGGAAACCCUGAU
This 391-nucleotide ribosomal RNA is filed under the name Gemmiger sp. RNAcentral describes it as "bacterial SSU rRNA". It matches the Rfam family "Bacterial small subunit ribosomal RNA", at positions 1 to 387 of the family's 1533-position model. The record is from RNAcentral. Lineage: Bacteria; Bacillati; Bacillota; Clostridia; Eubacteriales; Oscillospiraceae.